Molecule: long non-coding RNA, 1246 nt
Organism: Vigna radiata var. radiata (mung bean)
Lineage: Eukaryota; Viridiplantae; Streptophyta; Magnoliopsida; Fabales; Fabaceae
Exons: 9
Source: RefSeq, a predicted model, not a curated record
AAAUUUAUAAAAAUACAGCAUACGUUAGUUUCUGGUUUGGUGUGUUUUGCUUCCGUGACGAAUGUGUCUGCAACUUUUGAAACUUUUGAACUGAGAAGGCCUUUUUUUGCUGGUAGUUUGUUAGAGAUUAUUCGGACUCUUCUAGAACAAACCCGAACAGAUGAAAACAGGAUCUUAGGCUGCAACGUUCUUUUUGAUUUUCUAGAUUGCCAGUGAUGGAAAAGGGUAAAUCAUAGGUGAAUAUGGAAGCUUGCUUCUGCAAAAGUUGAGAAAGAAAGUCAAAAGUCAAAUGCUGUAGAAUUCAACUGAUUAGAAAGCAUCUAACAUUCACAUUAUAGAAGAGUUUUUGUGGUGAAGGUCAAAGUAGAGUGGUGGCUCAUUCUCUAAAAGCCACUUUUUCAAAGCCUAGUAACCAUCUCUACCAAGGUAACAUUAAUUUUAGGGAGUGGAGAAGGAGAUUAAUGGUAGCAUAAGAGCACUGUCCAACAAGUUGAAUUAUCAUUGUUCUAGCAAGACUGACAUGCAAGACUGCUACCACCACUUUAUUUGUAUGUCAUAGGGAUAUUUGUGAGAUUGUCAUUGGUAAUGAUCUUCUCUCUACAACAGUUCUACAAGUUUGAAAUUUGAAAUAAAUUGAAGGAGGUGCAAAAAUACUUAACAGAGAUGUUUGAAAAAGCUAGUAAAGAGGUUUAUUUAGCACCUUACUUGCAUAAGGGUCAUUGACAAUUGCUAGUAAUUGUUCUGGAUCGUUCUCUUGUAGUUCUCUUAUGUUCCUUACAUAAGAAAGCUAACACAUUGUCCAUAAAAAAAAAUUGGAGGCGUCUUUGGAAGCUCAUUCAAGGUUGCGGGGUAUUCCAUCUGUAUUUAGGAAGAAGAUGCAAAUAGUGACACCUAAUUGUCCACAUCAAUUGGGCAACUAUGAAUGUGGGUAUUACAUAAUGAAGCACAUGCGCACCAUUAUUUGUUCAAACAUUAAUGAUUCAUGGGAUAAGGUAUUAAAAAACUAACUAAAUACUUAUCUAACUGUUCAUUACAAAAUUGUUCUAACUUAACUAUUUUAUUUGUAAAUCUUUAAUGAUUCAUCUCCAAUGGAAGCUCCAAACAUUGAAGACAUUAGAACUAAGUGAACUUCUUUUAUUUUAAGUAUUAGUAAAUUGUAGAAACUUGACUACAAUGUAGUGUAGAUUAAUGUUAUAUUUGGAUUUAAUAUAUGGUUUGAUUUACAAAUUAUGUAUUAAAUAUUAUU